CCUACGGGAGGCAGCAGUGGGGAAUAUUGGACAAUGGGCGAAAGCCUGAUCCAGCCAUGCCGCGUGUGUGAAGAAGGCCUUCGGGUUGUAAAGCACUUUCAGUGGGGAAGAAAGCCUUGGGGCUAAUACCCUCGAGGAAGGACAUCACCCACAGAAGAAGCACCGGCUAACUCCGUGCCAGCAGCCGCGGUAAUACGGAGGGUGCGAGCGUUAAUCGGAAUUACUGGGCGUAAAGCGCGCGUAGGCGGUCUGAUAAGCCGGUUGUGAAAGCCCCGGGCUCAACCUGGGAACGGCAUCCGGAACUGUCAGGCUAGAGUGCAGGAGAGGAAGGUAGAAGUCCCUGUGUAGCGGUGAAAUGCGUAGAGAUCGGGAGGAAUACCAGUGGCGAAGGCGGCCUUCUGGACUGACACUGACGCUGAGGUGCGAAAGCGUGGGUAGCAAACAGGAUUAGAUACCCGUGUAGUC
RNAcentral lists this ribosomal RNA (465 nucleotides) under Vreelandella stevensii. RNAcentral describes it as "partial 16S ribosomal RNA". It matches the Rfam family "Bacterial small subunit ribosomal RNA", at positions 338 to 795 of the family's 1533-position model. The record is from RNAcentral. Lineage: Bacteria; Pseudomonadati; Pseudomonadota; Gammaproteobacteria; Oceanospirillales; Halomonadaceae.